GCAUUAGUAGCUCAGACUCAGAGCGUCGGUCUUGUAAACCGAAUGCCGGGGGUUAGAGUCCCCCCUCAUGCU
This 72-nucleotide transfer RNA is filed under the name Tylerius spinosissimus (spiny blaasop). RNAcentral describes it as "tRNA-Thr". It matches the Rfam family "tRNA". Rfam says of the family: Transfer RNA (tRNA) molecules are approximately 80 nucleotides in length. Their secondary structure includes four short double-helical elements and three loops (D, anti-codon, and T loops). Further hydrogen bonds mediate the characteristic L-shaped molecular structure. tRNAs have two regions of fundamental functional importance: the anti-codon, which is responsible for specific mRNA codon recognition, and the 3' end, to which the tRNAs corresponding amino acid is attached (by aminoacyl-tRNA synthetases). tRNAs cope with the degeneracy of the genetic code in two manners: having more than one tRNA (with a specific anti-codon) for a particular amino acid; and 'wobble' base-pairing, i.e. permitting non-standard base-pairing at the 3rd anti-codon position. Lineage: Eukaryota; Metazoa; Chordata; Actinopteri; Tetraodontiformes; Tetraodontidae. The record is from RNAcentral.